AGGGGGACAGCAAAUGUCUUGACGAACAGCUCGGUCACGAAAAAACAAUGACCAACCUUCUUCCGGCAAUAACGGGAAGCAAUGUUAUUUACGGAA
Molecule: non-coding RNA, 96 nt
Filed under: human gut metagenome
Description: Pyrrolysine insertion sequence mttB
Rfam family: Pyrrolysine insertion sequence mttB
Source: RNAcentral